RNAcentral lists this transfer RNA (82 nucleotides) under Cordyceps javanica. RNAcentral describes it as "Isaria javanica tRNA". It matches the Rfam family "tRNA". Rfam says of the family: Transfer RNA (tRNA) molecules are approximately 80 nucleotides in length. Lineage: Eukaryota; Fungi; Ascomycota; Sordariomycetes; Hypocreales; Cordycipitaceae. The record is from Rfam by way of RNAcentral.
GCCCGGUUAGCUCAAUCGGUAGAGCGUGAGACUCUUAGAGUUCACCAUCUCAAGGUUGCGGGUUCGACCCCCGCAUCGGGCU